This is an RNA transcript of Lutra lutra (Eurasian river otter), 4562 nucleotides long. It is a transcript of the gene named tetraspanin 32, with no coding region annotated. NCBI's taxonomy places the organism in Eukaryota, Metazoa, Chordata, Mammalia, Carnivora, Mustelidae. The record is from RefSeq and is a predicted model, not a curated record. The transcript has 5 exons.
GCCCCCAGUCCCCCAGUCUCUGGGAUGCGGUCAGAAGCAGGUGCGGGAGAGCCCAGGGAGUCUGCCCCUCCCACGGUGUCCUGACAGAGAGGCCUGAAGGAUAUGUGCAGCCGGGCCCCCCCACCUGCCCCAACCAGGGUCCCUUGGCCAGGCCCUGCUUUACCCCGUCAUCCGGGGGGGCUAGAAAGGCAGCACAGGCCGUCCCAGGCCUGGGGGGCCAUUGCCCAAGGCCCAGGGAGCGUCUGGCUCUGUUACGCAGGCCAGGUCACCUGUAGGUCUGGGCUCGUGCAGUGCCCCGGGGGGCCCACCUGAGCCCACCCUGCUCCUUUGCAGCUGGAGAGAGGCUCUGUGUCACCCCACAGGGACCCUUGUAGCCCCCACUCCUGCUCGUCCCCACUGGCCUCUCCUGCUGCUCUGCCGCCAGCCCUGCCCCCCCAGGGCCCAUCUGUCUUGCCCACUCUGGGCACAGGCCCUCCUCCCCUACUGGAACCUGGACUCCCUGGUUCCCCACUGCACCCAGGCAUCUGCCAUCCCGGCCUGGCACCUUCCGGGGCUCCUCGCAGGUUCAGGACGGAGUCCCGUUGAGGGAGGCAGGCCGGUUUCAGGGACCCAGAGGGCUCCCGCAGGACCAGCCAGGAGGGCCCUCAGCUUCGCACGGGAUAGAAAGUGAACACAGAGUUUACCCAAGAGCAUGAGUGAGGGACAGAGAGCCCCAGGCGGAGCAUCUGGGAGACUCGGAAAGGACAGGAGGCGGGUGUCUCCCUCACUCGGGUCUGGGGGUUUACAGUGGAAAAGAGUCCAGGGUACGUGUUCCUUCAGGAAGCCGGGGAAGGGUGUGCUGGAAGGCGAGCCACAGGCGUACAUCGGGAGAUGGUCCACAAAUCGCCCACAGCGGUGCGAGCCAAUGCUGGCAUCGGCCCGGUUUCAUCCGGGGCCCGGGCAACAGUGGAGAACGUCUGAGGUUCUCGCCUCCCCGGGAGUGGGACCGUAGCUUCUCUGGGUUGCAAGGGGAACCAGAGAGCUUGAGGAGAGGGAGACUUUCUGAACCCCAGUCCUCCAGCUUCCCGGCCUCACAGUCUCCCUGCAGCUCCACAGACCACCCCCAGCCUCCCUCAGCCCCUUCCAGCCACCAGACCCCCACUCUCUCUAGCCCUCUGCUCCUGCCGACUCUCCCCAACCCCAUGAGGGGCUCACGGACCAACGAGCCCCUGAGCCAGGCCCCCGGACUCACGGAGGGCAGCCAUCUGGGCCCCCAGGGCCGGCAGGGUUCUCCAUCCAGCCUGUGUCAGCAAAUGUCUGUGGACGUGUCUCCAUCUGCAGGAGCGGGGACACAGUCACCUCCCAAAGCUGUAGCCCGGGGCAGCUAGCCCGGAGUGGGCUCAGGGAGCGGCGUGGGACCAGGCAGCUCCAGCCCUGACCAGGCCCCCCCUGGCUCGUGGGCCAGGCAGUGCGGGCGCAAGCAGGCUCUGAGGCUCCGGCCGUGGCGGCCUGCCAGUGGCCGGGAGUCAGGGAGGGCAGGGAGACCCAGUGGGAGCUGGCGGGGUAGGCGGACUGUCCCCCUAGAGCAGAGCCCUAAGGCUUGGGGUCUGCCUGAGGGGCACAGAGGCAGAGGACAAGGCUGUCUCAGGGCAGGUACGGCCUGGAGAGGCCCGUGCUGGGACGACAGUAUGGCCACCAGGGGACGCCAUGGUGCUGGGUCACAGCCCUGUGCUCCCCAGGGCAGAAGGCGCCCCAGUUGCCGGUUGCCUUGUCCUGCCCCCCCAGCUCCUGCCUGCUUUUCCCCGCCCAGAUGCUCAAGGGGGCCGCCCUGCCGCCCUGGCCGGUGGGUAGGGCUCAGGAGCGUCGGGGAUCUCGCUUCUGCACGCCCAGCCCCACCAGAGGGCCUGCGGACCGCUCUGGGCAGGAGCCACCUGCUGCCCCCAGACCCCGCCCCAGACCCCAGACCCAUGGCCCCCCAGGGGCCCGCACACGCGUGUGCAUCUUGCGGGCCUGUGGUGCCGGCCCGUCUGUGUAUCCGCACACACGGAGAGGCACACCCAGAAGGGCCAUCCAGCAGGGAGACGCUUCCCAACCUGCCGGGCACCUGGCUGCUGCCCCCAUCCGCCCUUCCCGCCCCCACCCCUCCGGCCUUGCACAGGCCUCCAGAGCAGGAAAUGAACCAGCUCCUGUUGCCGGAGCACGGCUGGCAGGGACGGCUGAUUUAUUGACGUAUUUUAUUUACAAGGAGCAAGAAAAUGCGGGGCUGGGCCCAGCUGCCCCCAGCAGGCCUGCACAGCGGCACGGGUCCUGGGGACUCGAAGGAGACCUGGCCCAGGGCCCCCUCUGCAGGCCGGCAGGCGGAGGUGGGGAGGGAACUCACUUUCUCCUGGGGAAGGAAAGGAUUUCUGGAAAAUGCUGGUCCCCUGAGCUGGCUCAGGGCCUCCAGCCUAGAGGCAGUGGGCUUCCUGUGUUUUGCCCUGGUGUUCGGUGCCCUGGUACAGGUGGUCUUCUGGGGAUUCCACAACCCCACCCAGGUAGAGGAUGCAGUGCUGGACAUCUAUGACCUGGCAUACGAGCGGGCGGUGCGGAACUUGUCCGGAACCCCGCGGCAGCAGCUGGUGGCCAUUCAGGACACGUUCCUGUGCUGCGGCAAGAGCUCCCCUUUCGGCCUCCUGGGGGACGCGGAGGCCAGUCUGUGUCAGGGACAGCAGGCAGCCGGACAGGUGAGGAGGGGAGGCCCGGACCCUGCACUCUCCCUCCCUAGGCCUCCCCCGGGUUUGUGCCGCCCACUGCAGGGCUCCUGGACUCAGCCCCAUGCUCCCUUCGCUCACUCGGCCCCUCACCCAGCUCCAGCCUGGGGCUCCCCGAGGCCAGGCCUGCCCUCAGAAGCCUCCAGAAGCACAAAGGAAGGUGGAAGACAGACACUGGUCUGGAGGGGGCUAGUCCAGAAGGAGCCAGAAGGACAUUCCAGGGAGGGGACAGGGAGGUCGGUGGCAGGCAGAGGCAGGGAAGGCCCUUCUUCCCCAGGGCCCAGAGAGGGGCCUGGCACCUCCCCCAGCUACCCUUGCAACCCUCCCCCAGCCACCUCCCUCCCGGGCUCCCCUCCCCCGCUGUCCACUGUCCGGGAAACAAAACCACCCCUAUCUCUGGGCGAGAGGCUCCUGGCCGUCCUCCAACAUCAAGACAGGAGGAUACAAAUGGCUCCUGGCCCAGCAAGGGAGGGAGCCCACCCAGCACCACUGGCCCCAGAAGGGACGCAUGUGGGGAGGGGUGCGGCAGGGAGGGCCCAGCACGCCGGGAGGGGGCCUGAGAGGGCAUUCCUCCCAGCAGGAGGCCUCAGGUGCCCAUCUGCAAAGCUGCUGAGGGACUGCUCUGUGCCUUCCAGAAUGGCGGGGUCCCCGCUGUAAAGGCCACAGAGGGUGGGCAUGGGCGCUGGAGCCUCCCUGGGAUGGGCCUGGGUGGGGCAAGGAUGGUGUCCUAGGCGGUGGUCAGGCCCCCAGGCUGCCCCCCUGGAAGAAGUGUGGCCACAUGGGGAGUAGGGGCUGACCAGGGGCCAUUUUCUCACGGGGCAGCCAGGUCAGACUGCAGGGUUGUGGCCCACGGCUCCUGGGACCAUUUCCAGCUGCCCCUGGGGGCCAGAGGUCCCAACCUCCAGGCCAACCGGUCAGUCCCAUGACCCAGGUGUGAGCAGGGCUGGGACUCCAGCUGGGGCAGAGGCCCAGGUGGCAGUAGGGAGGCUGGAGGGCCCAGUCUCUGUCCAGUGACGGGUGGACAGAUGGCAGCCCGGACCGAUGUCAAGCGAGCCUUCUCUUCCUCCCCAUCCCAGCCUUAAGAAGAGCACCCCCCGAACAUCCCAGGGGUCCUGCCCCAAAUGUCACACCUUCCCCCAAUUCACACGCUGCCAGCCAAGCGGUUCAGAGAUGGGGCCGUCACCUCCCUCUCCCUGGAGAGAGAGCCCCUGUGGAGGCCAGGCCCUGGGGAGGCAUGGGAGCCCAGGAUGGAGCAGGAGGCUAGGAGAGCCCAGGAUCCCACGCCCCUCCCCCAGCUCUUUCUCUGCCCUCCACUCACCCUGGACCAGGGAGUGAGGGAGCCCCAGCCUGCCCAGGGGAGCCAGACCCGUGCCCCAGCCCAGGCGGCUCACGGACGCCUAAGAAAGGCACGUGCUUCUGGGCCUGGGGGCAGCAACCUUCCGUCCCCUGGAAGCCGCUCCCUCCCGCGGGUUUUUGCCUGUGUGUGAUGUCCUCCCUCCUGUGUGUGAGCUCUGGGGCGUGGAGCGUACCACCCCAGCACACCCCCCCGCCCUGCUGCACUGCACAUCACCCCAGCACUUGGCCCCAAGUGGGCACUAGAGGUCCACGCCUUGGCGGAGGCCCCUGACCGUGGGUGGGGAGGGGACCGCCAGGACGGUCGUCACAGGAGCUGCCCUUGGCUCAGGACUGCCUGCGGGAGAUCAGGAGCUUCCUGACGAUGCACAGAAACGUCGCCUGCGCCCUGACCGGCACCGGCCUCGCCAUCACAGUAUACGCGAUGCUGCUCAGCUCCUUUCUCUGGUUCGCCAUUCGCUCCGGUGGCAGCUUGGAUCG